UAUUGGACAAUGGGCGAAAGCCUGAUCCAGCAAUGCCGCGUGAGUGAUGAAGGCCUUAGGGUUGUAAAGCUCUUUUACCAGGGAUGAUAAUGACAGUACCUGGAGAAUAAGCUCCGGCUAACUCCGUGCCAGCAGCCGCGGUAAUACGGAGGGAGCUAGCGUUGUUCGGAAUUACUGGGCGUAAAGAGUACGUAGGCGGUGAUUCAAGUCAGAGGUGAAAGCCUGGAGCUCAACUCCAGAACUGCCUUUGAAACUAGAUCGCUAGAAUCAUGGAGAGGUUAGUGGGAUUCCGAGUGUAGAGGUGAAAUUCGUAGAUAUUCGGAAGAACACCAGUGGCGAAGGCGACUAACUGGACAUGUAUGACGCUGAGGUACGAAA
Molecule: ribosomal RNA, 378 nt
Filed under: uncultured bacterium
Lineage: Bacteria
Description: bacterial SSU rRNA
Rfam family: Bacterial small subunit ribosomal RNA
Source: RNAcentral